AGCGAACGCUGGCGGCAUGCUUAACACAUGCAAGUCGCGCGGGUGGUUUCGGCCAUCAGCGGCGGACGGGUGAGUAUCGCGUAGGAAUGUAUCCCGAGGUGGGGGACAACCCUGGGAAACUGGGGCUAAUACCGCAUGGGGCCUGUGGGUCAAAGCCUUAGGGCGCCUUGGGAGCAGCCUGCGUCCGAUUAGGUAGUUGGUGGGGUAAAGGCCUACCAAGCCUGCGAUCGGUAGCUGGUCUGAGAGGACGAUCAGCCACACUGGGACUAAGACACGGCCCAGACUCCUACGGGAGGCAGCAGUGGGGAAUAUUGGACAAUGGGCGCAAGCCUGAUCCAGCAAUGCCGCGUGGGUGAAGAAGGUCUUCGGAUUGUAAAGCCCUUUCGGCGGGGACGAUGAUGACGGUACCCGCAGAAGAAGCCCCGGCUAACUUCGUG
This 437-nucleotide ribosomal RNA is filed under the name uncultured bacterium. RNAcentral describes it as "partial 16S ribosomal RNA". It matches the Rfam family "Bacterial small subunit ribosomal RNA", at positions 28 to 507 of the family's 1533-position model. The record is from RNAcentral.